GAUGAACGCUGGCGGCGUGCCUAAUACAUGCAAGUCGAGCGAACGGACGAGAAGCUUGCUUCUCUGAUGUUAGCGGCGGACGGGUGAGUAACACGUGGAUAACCUACCUGUAAGACUGGGAUAACUUCGGGAAACCGGAGCUAAUACCGGAUAAUAUUUUGAACCGCAUGGUUCAAAAGUGAAAGACGGUCUUGCUGUCACUUAUAGAUGGAUCCGCGCUGCAUUAGCUAGUUGGUAAGGUAACGGCUUACCAAGGCAACGAUGCAUAGCCGACCUGAGAGGGUGAUCGGCCACACUGGAACUGAGACACGGUCCAGACUACUACGGGAGGCAGCAGUAGGGAAUCUUCCGCAAUGGGCGAAAGCCUGACGGAGCAACGCCGCGUGAGUGAUGAAGGUCUUCGGAUCGUAAAACUCUGUUAUUAGGGAAGAACAUAUGUGUAAGUAACUGUGCACAUCUUGACGGUACCUAAUCAGAAAGCCACGGCUAACUACGUG
RNAcentral lists this ribosomal RNA (497 nucleotides) under uncultured bacterium. RNAcentral describes it as "partial 16S ribosomal RNA". It matches the Rfam family "Bacterial small subunit ribosomal RNA", at positions 28 to 507 of the family's 1533-position model. The record is from RNAcentral.